Molecule: non-coding RNA, 3120 nt
Organism: Oryza sativa Japonica Group (Japanese rice)
Lineage: Eukaryota; Viridiplantae; Streptophyta; Magnoliopsida; Poales; Poaceae
Source: RefSeq, a predicted model, not a curated record
CCUCCUCUCGCUCCGCUCUCUCUCCUGCCCAAGCAAUGGUCGCCCCCCCCCCCCCCCCCCCCCAAUUCUCUUCUUCCCGCAGGUGACGGCCUCCCCCGCGCACUCUCUGCUGUCGUGCCCGCCGCCGCCCGGCACGCGGGCCGCUGCCGUCGCCGCAUCGUUGUCCUGCGGUCGCCAUCCUCUCGCACUCGCCGCCGCAUCCGCCAACGAGGAGGCCGGGACCACCGGAUCCGGUGACUCCGGCCUCCUCGCCGGCAGAUCCGGCCACUCUGAGGCGAGGGGGUCUCGCCCCGCUGUCGCCGCCGCCCGCUCUCUUCGCAGCGCCGUGGCUGCCGUCCGGUCUGCUCGCUACGCCGUUGCCAUCGCCCGCUCGAAGGGGAUGCCGUCGAUGCCUGCUUUCCUCGCAGCGCCGUCAUUGCCUCCCGCUCUCCUUGCUACGCCGGCGCCGGCGCCCGCUCGUCGGGGAGGUCGUGGGUGCCGGAUCCGACAGCCACGGUGUCCCCGCCGGCCGAUCUGGUCACCCGGAGUCGACGGCAAGCGGUACCACAGCAGGCUCAUCGCGGUGAGCUCCACACGGAAAGUUCCACUCUCCAGCACUCGGUUUGGUGGUGGCCAGAAGGGGAUUGUCACGAUUGAGCGGAACAAUGUGUGGAUCCGCAUCUCAGUCUCUACAUCCCGACAACGCAUCCAACAUCAGCCAUCGACAAGAUUCCUUUGCUAGAUCGCAAACUAGCCGAUCUAGAGGUGUGGUGCCGGAAAUUAUGUUAGAGGUGACAGUGGCCAGCGACAAGGUCAACCUGGCGGUGUAGAAGUCUGUCUCGAGGACAACGCGCUCAUUGCGGCCAUGGGUGGCCAUCGGCACUGCUUCUCCAUGCAGGCAUGCACCAACAACACUGGCAUCCUUCCGGCACAAUGCACAAAUCUGUCUAUGCUUCCAGCUGCAGCUACAUGUCCCUGCAACCUGCAUAUUUGCAUAGUCCAGGCACUCUGCAAGAUUGUCUGACCAAAAUGGAAGAGGUCAGUGUUGCAACCCACCACUAUAGUUUCUUGAUUUUCUAUUGAUGCCUGCUGUCUAAUGUUAACAUUGCAGGGGAAAAAUAUAUUCUUUUCCUUUUCCUGUAAUGCACUUGGCUAAGAAAAUUGGCGGACAGUUAAGCUGCUAAUGCUUCUUUGCUCAUGCUCCUUGAUCAGAACAUAAAUGGUGAGUGAUAAAAAUUGUAUUGUCCCUCCAUACAGAUAUUAGAGCAGUUUCCCCCAUUUUUCCAUUCAUGUAUGGUUUCGUUCCCCCUUGAUCAGUCAACUACAGGACUGCUCUUGGGUGACUGAAACUGAUUUCACUUUAGUUAUUUUGGAGCAAAUAUUUUUCUAGAACAAAUUGUUUUACUUUGAUUAUACUCCAUCCCACUUCUAAGUAACAUCUCACCACACUUUAUUAUGUGAGCAAGCAUAUAUAAACCAUGUGUGCAACCGUACCUCUGACAUGCGUGUUUUUUCUUGUCUGCGGGUUAGUUGAAGAUACACAUGAGAAGGGCUUGAUUAGGCCUGGUGUUAUGGUGCUGAAUUGUUGAUUGAAAAAGCCGGUGAUAAUGUUGGUACCUUUUGGUAUUAGUUGCUAUUAAAGAAAGGUUGCAGGUUUCUUGCUAUUAUGCCGGCUUAAUACUCACUUCACAGGCAGAUACUACUGAGGUUUUUUUAUGCUAAGUAACAUUGACAGGUGAUAACCAGGAUCCCACCUCUUAGAAAUUGUUAGAGACUUAAAAUGCACUUAAAUGCCUCAUUCAGUUUUUAUUUAAUAGAUAUGUUUCUGGGGAAUGGACCAAAUUAAUUUUGUGCCUUUCUUGUGCUUAAUUUUUUAUUACAUAUUAUGCUAAACUAAUUACUACUCUUUCCGUUACAUUUUAAGAAUCCUCUGACGAGUGUUAAGUAGUGCAUGCUUUAAUUUUCUAUAGAUUGUUUAGGUGUUUUGAGUGUAUGAUUAACAAAGUGGAACAACUCAUGAAUGUCAUGCCUAAUUAUCGUUGUUAACCAGGCAACAAACUCAACAAAUCCAGGGGCACUCUUAAAAUGAUCUGGUAGAAAUCCCCACCUUAAACCCUUAAUACUCUAGAAAUCACCGCUAUCUUUUACAUCUAUUGCCCUUAUUUUGCUUAUUCCAAACAUGACUUUGCUUCAUGUUCAUUUUCUGAAAGUGUCAGCACCUGACAUUUGGAAGCGCAUAACUAACAAAGUGGGCAUGGUGUAACAAUUUCUAGAACAAGAGGCACCACUCAUAGGGCAAUGCAGUACAUGUGUGCUGAUAGCAGUUGUAGGGAGAAAACAAAUUUAUGAAGAGGCAUGUUUAUUGUUGACAAUAAGGGACCAAUUGAAAGGGUAGUAGUGCUGCUGCCACCUCCGUACCUCAACUUCUCAGUCAUGCCAGAACAUAAACUUUGCUUGCAGAUUGUAUUUCAAUGCUUAGAAUACCAAAAUACAAGUAACACUUAGCAUAUUUUGCUAUUACAAACUAAUAUGGAAUGACUAACUACGUUUUUUGUUUGUUCCUUAAAUUUUGCUUGUGAUAGGAAAAAAGGGGGAUUUUCAUUUUUGCUCUGCUAUAUUAGUUUUCUUUUACCAGCAUGCUUGCUUAUUAAAAUUUGGUGUACAUCUUCGUUUAUCUAGGCAUAUAAAUUUGAUCAUUUCAUGUCUACCUGUGUUUGCUCUUAAGUCAUGAUGCAUCAAUGGGGCUCAACAGUUCAUCAGUGCUAAUUACCAGAGAGGAUAAUGAAAUAAAGAUCCGCAAUCACUUAUUUGGAUGCAUCAAGCUAACAAGUCUUUCCUGCAGCAAAAUACUAUGCUCAAAUCAGUGUCUUAAUUAUAGGCUGGCUGAUUGGGCCCAGGAACUUGGGAUCUUCAUAGAACUAUCAUUCUAUUUCAUUGCGUACAUUAGCCCUCAUACCAUGGAAACAGUCAUUCAAUUCCACUUGUACCAUUAUACAUGACAACAGAGCACUUAUUUCCUCCCUAUACUAUCAACAAAAACAACCAGAAAAGCAAAUUCUUCUAGCUGUGUAUUCACUUUUCCAUUUCUGAUGCCAUGGGUCUUAUUCCGUAUAAAAAAGCAUCAGUACAGCUUGAAGACCA